Molecule: ribosomal RNA, 576 nt
Filed under: uncultured bacterium
Lineage: Bacteria
Description: bacterial SSU rRNA
Rfam family: Bacterial small subunit ribosomal RNA
Source: RNAcentral
UACGGGAGGCAGCAGUGAGGAAUAUUGGUCAAUGGACGCAAGUCUGAACCAGCCACGUCGCGUGAAGGAAGACGGCCCUACGGGUUGUAAACUUCUUUUAUACGGGAAUAAAGUGCCCCACGUGUGGGGUUUUGCAUGUACCGUAUGAAUAAGGAUCGGCUAACUCCGUGCCAGCAGCCGCGGUAAUACGGAGGAUGCGAGCGUUAUCCGGAUUUAUUGGGUUUAAAGGGUGCGUAGGCGGAGAUUUAAGUCAGCGGUGAAAGUUUGAGGCUCAACCUUAAAAUUGCCGUUGAAACUGGGUUUCUUGAGUGUAUUUGAAGUAGGCGGAAUUCGUUGUGUAGCGGUGAAAUGCUUAGAUAUUACACAGAACCCCGAUUGCGAAGGCAGCUUACUAAACUACAACUGACGCUGAAGCACGAAAGCGUGGGUAUCAAACAGGAUUAGAUACCCUGGUAGUCCACGCAGUAAACGAUGAAUACUAACUGUUUGCGAUAUACAGUAAGCGGUACAGCGAAAGCGUUAAGUAUUCCACCUGGGGAGUACGUUCGCAAGAAUGAAACUCAAAGGAAUUGACGG